This is a long non-coding RNA of Apodemus sylvaticus (European woodmouse), 225 nucleotides long. RefSeq lists it as uncharacterized. The transcript is spliced from 3 exons. The record is from RefSeq and is a predicted model, not a curated record. NCBI's taxonomy places the organism in Eukaryota, Metazoa, Chordata, Mammalia, Rodentia, Muridae.
CUGCUUCCCGACCUGCUUGAGUUCCAGUCCUGAUUUCCUUGGAUGAUGAACAGCUGUGUGGAAGUCUGGAUCCCGUUCCAUUCCUCAGCCGUGAAUAAGGUGGCCUAGAGGCCCUGGCAGUCGUCUCAGGUUGGUUGCUCCCAGGCACCCUGCACUGGAAGCCCUACUCACUGACAGGACCCUGACUCUCAGGAUAGCACACAGGUUUUCCACUGUGGGAGCAGA